AGAGAGUUAAGAAUGUGUGUUGUUCUCAUCUUUUAGUUUGGUGCAUGCUGCUAACAAGAGCUAGCACCAUCCAAAAGUUUCAAAUUCAAACAAACCUGAGCCAUCCAGAGAGGAAAUGCUUUUAUUUUUCAAACCUCAAGCUCAAUUUUAUUGUGAAGGGGUGAUUAGACUUUUUUUUUUCCUUUCCCCCUUUGCACUAAGGGGAACGCCUUGUCUGAGUAAAAAUGUUGAGAUUUUUCUUUGAUGAAAGAGUGUUCUCGGUUUGAUGAGAUUGUUCCUAUAUCGUCACUAUACAAUUAAUUAUAUAUUUCCUGCUUUCUUUGAUACCCCUUUACCUGGAUUUCAUGAAGGCAUUGAGUCUAAAUUUUGUUAUUCAAUUUUAUAACAUGUAGCUCAGUAAUUUACCGUAAAUCAAUUACCAACCUGUUGUAUUGUGCAUGUAUUCCACAAGCAAAUGCAAAAGUAAACCUUCUUAGUAUUCAACUAAUUAGCGAGUCAUUUACAAGAAGCAAAAAUAAAAAUAAUGGAGAAAAAAAAGAGUUCAUUCAAGUAUUUAUUGCAUUGUCUGGCGCUUGAUUAUUUGUAACAUCUAAAUAGUGCUUCUAUACUAGAUAACAUUAUAAGUAUAUGAAUAUACUUCCAAAUAUAUAUAACAAUUUCAAAGAUAUAAGUGUAAAAAUAUUAGAUUUAAGAUGUUUUAAGUUUAUAAAAACAAACAACUUGCAAUUUAUACUUAGAUAUUAAAAAAUAACUCUCAAUAUUUUUAUUUUAUUUUAUUUUUUGAAGAUAAAACUUACUGUUGUCAUGUCUUAAUGUAAAAUGUAAGUUGUUGUUUAAAUAUGACAAUGUCAGAGGGAUAAUCUGAUCUUUUCAUAUAAUACAAGUGAUAAUUUAAUGGUAUAAUAAGUAAUAAUAAGAGAAUUUAAGGGUAUACAAGUGAUAAUUUUCAUUUACUUUAAUUUAAGUUUCAAGGAUAAAAUUUAACUUUAAUUUAAUUUUCCUAUCAAAAAAAAGAAAUUUAAGUUUCAAAGGUAAAAUCAUCACUAUAAUUACAUUAACUUUCAAACGACAACUAAUGAUUUAGUGGUUAGCAAAUAGCUUUUGUUAAUUUACGGUGAACAAUUGAUACACCCUUAAAAUUUUGUAGUAUUUUUAAUAACAUAACAAAUUUACUGUACAGUGUACACGAAGGAUAAUUUUUCUUAAUUAAUUAUUAAUCAAAGACGAUUCUAUGUUACAUCACAUCAACGCUACAUUUUAUCAAAGCUUUUUUUUUUUUUAUACAAAGCCAAUACUAAAUUAAAAUCCCUAUAACACUCCUUUCAAAUGUUCAUUUUCAAAAUCUUCUCGGUUUUUGUUUGGGUUUGAUUUUUUCAAUAACGUUUGAAAAUAUGGUCAACCCCAAUCUACUCAAAACUCAUUAGUAUUGAGCUGACCUCGUAAGUACGACCUGGAGCCUAUGUUGGCAAUCUGGUUUACAGAUACAACCUGAGAUUUAUGUGAACAACCAGAUUUAAAAAUACAUCCUUGAACUUACAUGAACGAUAGGAAAAUUCACCAGUCCCACCUGAAAAUGAAGAAAUCCGACCUCAAAAUUUAUUUGUCCGACUCGGGAAUUAGCUUGACAUGGAAAAUUAUUGGUUUAAAUAACGUGGCCUAAUUUUUAGGGAAGUUGUACGCCACGAUUUGUUAAACCGUCUCCAAUUAUUAACAACUCGCAACUGCUGAAGAAGGUGGGCUAAAGUUAAGGUGGUAACCACUCACGACCAAGGGCUAUUUAAGCUGAAGAGGGCAACAGAGAAAGGGGUUAGCAAAAAUUAACCAAAAACUCUACAAGUGACCUAUCUAAGAGCCUUAACAUUCUCUACUAGAUUUUUAGUUCCUCUAUCAGAAAAUUCCUUUAUCUCGAAUUCAUUCACAAUUCUUCCCUUUCAUUUUUAUCUCUUCAGAUAAAAAUUCUGUCAACGCUUUACCUCAGACAAUCUUUUCUGCAAAAUUGUUAACUUCUUUGAAGCUAUUUGGUUGUAAGUUGGAGCAGCCCUCACAUUGUGCAAAUCUCCAAUCUCUCAAGAAGCUUUCUCUAGAUGAGGUGUAUGUAAAUGAUCAGAUGGUCCAAAGCCUUGUCCGUGAAUGCCGUGUGCUUGAAGAUUUGUCCUUUUUUUACUGUUUUGGUUUGAAGCGUUUGCGCAUCUCUGAAGCUCACAAACUCAAGUCUUUGAUACUUCGUUUUACAUACCAAGAACUUGAAAGUGUUGAAAUUGCUGUUCCCAGUCUUCAACAGUUAGAACUUUCAUUUUCUCGAGUACCCCGUCUGCUGGACGUGGCUGAAUGUCCACAUUUGAGGAAGUUAGUCUUAUUUUUACCCCAUUUUAAUGACCAAGAGUUUCAUCCUCUUAUUUCAAAAUUUCCCUUGCUUGAGGAUCUCUCCAUAAUCUCCUUGGAAACCCUUGAAAGGAUAAUGAUCUCCAGUAAUCGGCUUAUGCAUUUGGAAGUUUACAACUGCAGUGGUUUGAACAGAAUCAAUGUUGAUGCACCUAAUUUGGUUUCCUUUGAUUUCGAGGAUAAUCCAAUUCCCAUUGUAUCAACAAAUGCUCCGUGUCCAUUGAAUGUACUCUUUUCGAAUUUUGGUGAUAUUGACACCCAUUGGUACCUUAAUUUAAUGGAAUUUAUUGGAGCAUUCAAUCAAAUUGGAGAGCUACACUUAUCUCUCAACUAUAAGCAGGUAUGUUUAUAUGUGCCAUAACUUCGAUUGUUAUAUUUUAUUAAUGCCAUUUUUUCUUUUCAUUAUCCUAUUUUUUUCCUUUUGCCUGUAUUUAUUUCUCAUGAUUUAUAUAGGUCUUAUUUAAUAUAGACGAGUUCAGAAGCUGCCACCCUUCACUCCCUCUUCAAGUUGAGAGUCUGUCCCUAUUUAUGGAAUCCUUCAGCCUUUAUAUGGAUGUGGUACCAUCGGAGUAUGAAAUUUUGUUGGAUGGCCUUUUUUGGAUUUUUUACCCUAAGAAUUUGUGUUUGUCUCCUGAGAACUGGCGCUAUCGCCCAUUUGUUAUGGUAUGUUUUGUUUUAGCAUUAGUUGUUAUACUUACUUGAGUGAAUCUUUAAUCCUCAUUUAUGUUGGAAUCCAGUACAAAGAAGAAAACAGUAGGAAUCCUAUAGUUGUAACAUGAUCUUUUCUCGGUAGUAUUUGGUUGGGGUAUGUGGAAAAGUAGGCUAAAAGUAAUUGUUUAUACAACAUCAUAGCUUAAGAUAAAAUACAAGCUCUGACUGGUCGAAACAAGUAUACGAACAAAAAUCAUGAAAGAAAAAUGCUCAGUUCUCAUUUUUGCUUUUUGAGGAGAACUGCCUGCAUUUUGUUGCUAGGUCAAGGAGGGAUUACUGCUAGUCAAUGAAACGACAAGUUUUAUCUGUUGUUGAUCAGUUUCAGAGGUUGUAAUCAUAUUUAAUGUUAACUGAAUCGUGUGAUGUUUGUGUGAAUUGCAGUGGUUUUAUGACCAUCUUCGGAAUAUAAGUACAAACUGUUGCAAUGGUCGUCAAAUCAAGUGUUGGCGGCAUUAUUUAAAGGGUAUUAACAUUGAGAGCUUCGAUCCCUUACAAGAAUCAAGUGAGGUUAAUUAUGCAGAUGUACCCUCUCGAGGAUAAUUCAGAUGAAUUGAUGGAUAGAUGGCCUCUGCUUCCCCAGGGAGAUUUGUGGCUGCGGCUUGAUUGGUGCUUUCCCGUACUUAAUGAGUAGUUGCGACAAGCCACAACGUUCUCGUGACUGAGGCAUUACCAUUGUGAAUCUGCGGUUGCUAAAGAUAGCUGUAUUAUAUUCUUUAAUAUACUAUAUAUAGAGAGAGUUAAGAAUGUGUGUUGUUCUCAUCUUUUAGUUUGGUGCAUGCUGCUAACAAGAGCUAGCACCAUCCAAAAGUUUCAAAUUCAAACAAACCUGAGCCAUCCAGAGAGGAAAUGCUUUUAUUUUUCAAACCUCAAGCUCAAUUUUAUUGUGAAGGGGUGAUUAGACUUUUUUUUUUCCUUUCCCCCUUUGCACUAAGGGGAACGCCUUGUCUGAGUAAAAAUGUUGAGAUUUUUCUUUGAUGAAAGAGUGUUCUCGGUUUGAUGAGAUUGUUCCUAUAUCGUCACUAUACAAUUAAU
Molecule: long non-coding RNA, 4125 nt
Filed under: Citrus sinensis (sweet orange)
Lineage: Eukaryota; Viridiplantae; Streptophyta; Magnoliopsida; Sapindales; Rutaceae
Description: long non-coding RNA (CSIN_LNC000296)
Source: RNAcentral